Molecule: ribosomal RNA, 900 nt
Filed under: uncultured Parabacteroides sp.
Lineage: Bacteria; Pseudomonadati; Bacteroidota; Bacteroidia; Bacteroidales; Tannerellaceae
Description: bacterial SSU rRNA
Rfam family: Bacterial small subunit ribosomal RNA
Source: RNAcentral
UAAUACGGAGGAUGCGAGCGUUAUCCGGAUUUAUUGGGUUUAAAGGGUGCGUAGGCGGUUGUAUAAGUCAGCGGUGAAAUUUUCCGGCUUAACCGGGAGACUGCCGUUGAUACUGUAUAGCUUGAAUACGGUUGCUGUGAGUGGAAUGUGUGGUGUAGCGGUGAAAUGCAUAGAUAUCACACAGAAUAUCGAUUGCGAAGGCAGCUCACAAAGCCGUUAUUGACGCUGAUGCACGAAAGUGUGGGGAUCAAACAGGAUUAGAUACCCUGGUAGUCCACACUGUAAACGAUGAUAACUAGCUGUCGGCGAUACACCGUCGGUGGCCAAGCGAAAGCGAUAAGUUAUCCACCUGGGGAGUACGACCGCAAGGUUGAAACUCAAAGGAAUUGACGGGGGCCCGCACAAGCGGAGGAACAUGUGGUUUAAUUCGAUGAUACGCGAGGAACCUUACCCGGGCUCGAACGGUGCAGUAAUAUGGUAGAGAUAUCAUAGCUAGCAAUAGACUGUAUCGAGGUGCUGCAUGGUUGUCGUCAGCUCGUGCCGUGAGGUGUCGGCUUAAGUGCCAUAACGAGCGCAACCCUUGUCGUUAGUUACCAUCAAGUAAAGUUGGGGACUCUAGCGAGACUGCCACCGUAAGGUGUGAGGAAGGGGGGGAUGACGUCAAAUCAGCACGGCCCUUACGUCCGGGGCGACACACGUGUUACAAUGGUAGGUACAGAGGGCCGCUAUCCAGUGAUGGAGUGCCAAUCUCAAAAACCUAUCUCAGUUCGGAUCGGAGUCUGCAACUCGACUCCGUGAAGUUGGAUUCGCUAGUAAUCGCGCAUCAGCCAUGGCGCGGUGAAUACGUUCCCGGGCCUUGUACACACCGCCCGUCAAGNCAUGGAAGCCGGGGGUGCCUGA